RNAcentral lists this ribosomal RNA (466 nucleotides) under uncultured bacterium. Its description in RNAcentral is "partial 16S ribosomal RNA". It matches the Rfam family "Bacterial small subunit ribosomal RNA", at positions 339 to 795 of the family's 1533-position model. The record is from RNAcentral.
CUACGGGAGGCACCAGUCGAGAAUAGUCUACAAUGGACGAAAGUCUGAUAGUGCGACGCCGCGUGGAUGAAGAAGCAUUUCGGUGUGUAAAGUCCUUUUCUGUGUGAGCAAUGUUUUCCAGGUUAAUAGCUUGGAGAAAGCGAUAUUAACACAGGAAUAAGCUCCGGCUAACUCCGUGCCAGCAGCCGCGGUAACACGGGGGGAGCAAGCGUUGUCCGGAAUUACUAGGCGUAAAGGGUAAGUAGGCGGAACUGUAAGUCAGAUGUUAAAGGCACCGGCUCAACCGGUGUAUGGCAUUUGAUACUGUAAUUCUAGAGUAAGGUGGGGGAAGACGGAAUUCCUGGUGUAGCGGUGGAAUGCGCAGAUAUCAGGAGGAACACCAGAGGCGCAGGCGGUCUUCUAUACCAUUACUGACGCUCAAUUACGAAGGUGUGGGUAUCAAACAGGAUUAGAUACCCCAGUAGUC